Pseudophryne corroboree (corroboree frog) is the source of this 443-nucleotide long non-coding RNA. RefSeq lists it as uncharacterized. The transcript is spliced from 4 exons. The record is from RefSeq and is a predicted model, not a curated record. NCBI's taxonomy places the organism in Eukaryota, Metazoa, Chordata, Amphibia, Anura, Myobatrachidae.
GGUAUAUAUAGGACUAAAGAGUUCACUCUCACUUAUAGCUGUGAGGUGGACCUUGAGACAACACGCCAGGGUCUGAUCGGAUAAUAUCUCCUGAUCUCAUCCGAAUUGCCAGUUUGUGAAAUCUAAAUAGAAGUUUCUGGUAGGAAUACACUCUCAGUGAAUUCAUGCUCUGUUUGUAUUCCCUUUGGUGAACCCAUUCUUUGAUUUGCACCCCUGAUGAAGUCCUAAGGGACGAAACGCGUUGGGUUUCAACGAUUGUGCGUUUUCCGUAAAAACAGUGAACUGAUCAUUCAUACUUUCUCAUGCUGAGGAAUAAGUAUUUCAUCUAAUGAUUGAAAACAUCAUGUAUAACAGACAAUCAGAAAUGAAUGUAUUGCUCAUAUGACAUAUGUGAUCUUGUGAUUCAUGUUAUAAAAGUAUACAUGUUUUUUAAUAAAUGAUUU